This 253-nucleotide ribosomal RNA is filed under the name uncultured bacterium. RNAcentral describes it as "partial 16S ribosomal RNA". It matches the Rfam family "Bacterial small subunit ribosomal RNA", at positions 524 to 776 of the family's 1533-position model. The record is from RNAcentral.
UACGGAGGGUGCGAGCGUUGUCCGGAAUCACUGGGCGUAAAGGGCGCGUAGGUGGCGCGGGCAGUCAACGGUGAAAGUUCGGGGCUCAACCCUGAAUCGGCCGUCGAUACUCCUGGGCUCGAGCACUGUAGAGGCAGAUGGAAUUCCGGGUGUAGCGGUGGAAUGCGUAGAGAUCCGGAAGAACACCGGUGGCGAAGGCGGUCUGCUGGGCAGUUGCUGACACUGAGGCGCGACAGCGUGGGGAGCGAACAGG